Molecule: long non-coding RNA, 904 nt
Organism: Platichthys flesus (European flounder)
Lineage: Eukaryota; Metazoa; Chordata; Actinopteri; Pleuronectiformes; Pleuronectidae
Exons: 3
Source: RefSeq, a predicted model, not a curated record
AUUAGCUGCUGCACGGUGGUCUCCAAAGUGCGUGUGGUGAAUUUCAUGGUGAGAAGAGGAGGUUUGGUGCGAUGCCGGCAGCAGGACAUCAGAGAAGGCUGCAACAUAAACGCUGAAAUACUGGAGUGGAGACGCCGCCAAGUCUGUGUGGACCCGACGUCUCUCAAGAUGCAAAACCAACUGGCGAAUUUGUGCCGCAACAGAAAAGAAAAGGGAGUGAGACAUCACGGUCGCCCACACAGCAGGAACACAAAAAUCUGAUCGUACAGAAACUGUCGCCCACCACAGAUGGCUCAAUGUGGAAUGGAUGUAGAUGUUUUCAGUUGUCUGUUAUGCUCGUAGACAAAAGGACGUUCUUUAACGUACUAUAUGCUUCCUCCUGCUGUGUAGCACCAUCUGAAGUUUACUGGGUUAUACACAAGCUUAAAAUAUAUUAUUAUACUGCAUGUUCCAAUUCCCGAAAAUAUUAUAUACACUUUUUUCUCAUCUCAGCGUAUUCCUUUGCAUAAAUUACCCAAGUUAGUAUCUGCGUUGCUUGUAUUCAAAUCAAAUGUGUUCAUUUUCUGUUUUUCUGGGAUUAUUUCUUUAAUAUUUUUGUUAUAAUUUUCAGAACGAUAUUUUGAAUGAUGGGAAGAUUUGGAGCUCGUAUGAAAAAAGCUGCAGAAAAGACAAUAUUUUCUGCAUUUUAAUUUUUUUUCUUGUCUGGAAUCUUGUUCCAUAGAAGCAAAAUACAACCUGCAGAAUGUAAAGUGAAUCACGAGCUCUGACAUUUCCUCAUUGUUGUUCUCCAUGUUCCUUUGUUAUGUAAUUGAUGAUCUGGUUGAUUAACGUUACCACGCUGCAUGAUGACACUUCAGAUAAUUACUCAAUCUUGACCUUUCAGUGUAAAGCUGCCAAGUUUCUG